This 328-nucleotide unclassified non-coding RNA is filed under the name air metagenome. RNAcentral describes it as "partial contains small subunit ribosomal RNA, internal transcribed spacer 1, and 5.8S ribosomal RNA". The stretch from base 1 to 46 matches the Rfam family "Eukaryotic small subunit ribosomal RNA", at positions 1786 to 1831 of the family's 1831-position model. The record is from RNAcentral.
AAGUCGUAACAAGGUUUCCGUAGGUGAACCUGCGGAAGGAUCAUUAACGAAUAUCUAUGGCGUUGGUUGUAGCUGGCUCUUAGGAGCACUUGUGCACGCCCGUCAUUCAUAUCAUCUUUCCACCUGUGAACUAUGUGUAGGCCUGGAUACCCCUCGCUUUGGCGACAAAGCGGAUGCAAGGAUUGCUGUGUCGACAAGGCCAGCUCUCUUUGAAUUUCCAGGUCCUAUGUCUUUUUACACACCCCAUUAGAAUGAUGUAGAAUGUAGUCAAUGGGCUCUAUGCCUAUAAAACACUAUACAACUUUCAGCAACGGAUCUCUUGGCUCUC